RNAcentral lists this ribosomal RNA (274 nucleotides) under uncultured bacterium. Its description in RNAcentral is "partial 16S ribosomal RNA". It matches the Rfam family "Bacterial small subunit ribosomal RNA", at positions 523 to 796 of the family's 1533-position model. The record is from RNAcentral.
AUACAGAGGGUGCAAGCGUUAUUCGGAAUUACUGGGCGUAAAGCGCGCGUAGGCGGAUGAUUAAGUCAGUUGUGAAAGCCCUGGGCUCAACCUAGGAACUGCAUCUGAUACUGGUCGUAUAGAGUUUAAGAGAGGGAAGUGGAAUUCCAGGUGUAGCAGUGAAAAGCGUAGAUAUCUGGAGGAACAUCAGUGGCGAAGGCGACUUCCUGGCUUAAAACUGACGCUGAGGUGCGAAAGCGUGGGUAGCGAACGGGAUUAGAUACCCUAGUAGUCC